UUGAAAACCACUAAAUUAAUGUCUCAUAUGGCUACAUUUCUUAAGAAGUGUGGGUUUUAUUUCGCCUUCGACGAUAUUAUCGGACCUUUUUUCGGUUCAAGCGAAGUUAUUAGCAGUUGAAAGCAAAGCUCGCGAAUAGCCUAUACUCGCUAGAAAUAGUCUAGCCGAUAUCUAAAAUGAAUAAUCUUAUUUUGUGGUUCAAUUAUAAUUUAAAGCUGAUUUCAAGGAGAAUGUGUAUAGAUUUACUUGUUUUUUUUUUCGUCCAGGAGACGGAGCAGGCAUGGAAUUCCAAUUGCUGCAUGCGCAAGUCUGGAAAAUGGAAGUCACCGCCUCCAGGAGGUUGAUCGGUUGGAAAUUCUCCAUGCAGUUUUCCCUUUCCCAAUUCCACAUAAAACUACUUAACACAAUUAAUAUGUUCAAACUCAUAUGGAAAACUAACAGCGAAACAAAUGGCUGUUUACAAUGCAUACAAUGCAGAGUUGGACUUGUAUUUUUCUUAUUAUUUGCAGUAUGCAGAGCGUGUGUCAUUGCUGUGACUGGAUCCGACACCACUACCGUCACUUGAGCGCAUAAUUCCAUUCUCUGCUGGACCAGAUGGGAGGAGAUAUCACAAAGCAGAAUGCCCCUGUCCUUUUCUCAACAUCACUUUACAGACCCAUAGAUGCCGAGUUUGAGGACAAAGUCAGAUUCCGGAACGAGGUCAUCUAUAAAAUCACAAAACUGUUUGAUGGGAAUAAGAAGUCCGUCACCUGGGACAAGAAAAACCUGGACGAUUUACUUAAAAUUCUAGAAAACUAAUUUGAAAACCUUAAUUCCUGUGUAAGUAACGGGUCUAUUUAAAGUAUAAUCCCUGUUCAUGUCAGGGUUGUCCAAUCCCGUUUAUGUUGAGUUACCCUCCUGUAAGUUUUCGCUCCAACCCCAGUUGUAACUAACCUGGUUAAGUUUAUCAACUACCUAAUUAAUCAGGUGUGGUAGAUUAGGGUUGGAGUGAAAACCUACAGGAAUGUAGUUCUCCAGGAACAGGGUUGGAGAGCCCUGGUUUAGCUGUAGCCUACUGACUCUACAAGUGGAGAAAUGGACUUAUAAAGGACAUAUAAUGUGUUCAACUUUUUCCACAUUUUGUUACCUUACAGACUUUUUCUAAAAUUGAUUAAAUGGAUUUUUCCCCUCUUCAGUUUAUACACAAUACCCGAUAAUGACAAAGCAAAAACCGUGUUUUAGAUAUUUUUUCAAACAUAAUAACAAUACAAAACUGAAAUAUCACAUUUACGUAAGUAUUCAGACCCUUUACUCAGAACUUUGUUGAAGCACCUUUGGCAGUGAUUACAGGCUUGAGUCUUCUUGGCUAUCAUGCUACAAGCCUGGCACAUCUGUAUUUGAGGAGUUUCUGCCAUUCUUCUCUGCAGAUCCUCUCAAGUUCUAUCCGGUUGGAUAGGGAGCGUCGCUGUACAGUGAUUUUCAGGUCACUCUAGAGAUGUUUGUUCAUUUUAGCGUAAGUCUGGGCUCUUGCUGGGACACUCAAGGACAUUCAGAGACUUGUCCCAAAGACACUCCUGCAUCGUCUUGGCUGUAUGCUUAGGGUAUUUGUCCUGAUGGAAGGUGAACCCUCGCCCCAGUCUGAGGUCCUGUGCGCCCUGGAGCAGGUUUUCAUCAAGGAUAUCUCUGUACUUUGCUCUCUUCAUCGUUUACCUUGAUCCUGACUAGUCUCCCAGUCCCUGCCAAUGAAAAACAUCCCCACAGCAUGAUGCUGCCACCACCAUACUUAACUAUAGGGAUAGUGCAAGGUUUCCUCCAGAUGUGAUGCUUGGCA
Long non-coding RNA from Oncorhynchus masou masou (cherry salmon), 1810 nucleotides. RefSeq lists it as uncharacterized. The transcript has 3 exons. The record is from RefSeq and is a predicted model, not a curated record. Lineage: Eukaryota; Metazoa; Chordata; Actinopteri; Salmoniformes; Salmonidae.